ACCGGAUGCGGAUCUCGAAAGCCUGUCCCAGUUCGGACUGGAGUCUGCAACCCGACUCCACGAAGUUGGAUUCGCUAGUAAUCGCGCAUCAGCCAUGGUGCGGUGAAUACGUUCCCGGGCCUUGUACACACCGCCCGUCAAGCCAUGGGAGCCGGGGGCGCCUGAAGUCCGGGACCGCGAGGACCGGCCUAGGGCGAAACUGGUAACUGGGGCUAAGUCGUAACAAGGUACC
RNAcentral lists this ribosomal RNA (232 nucleotides) under uncultured bacterium. RNAcentral describes it as "partial 16S ribosomal RNA". It matches the Rfam family "Bacterial small subunit ribosomal RNA", at positions 1260 to 1500 of the family's 1533-position model. The record is from RNAcentral.